ACAGCAGUAGCCGCGGUAAUACGGAGGGUGCAAGCGUUAAUCGGAAUUACUGGGCGUAAAGCGCACGCAGGCGGUCUGACAAGUCAGAUGUGAAGUCCCCGGGCUUAACCUGGGAACUGCAUUUGAAACUGUCAGGCUGGAGUCUUGUAGAGGGGGGUGGAAUUCCAGGUGUAGCGGUGAAAUGCGUAGAGAUCUGGAGGAAUACCGGUGGCGAAGGCGGCCCCCUGGACAAAGACUGACGCUCAGGUGCGAAAGCGUGGGGAGCAAACAGGAUUAGAUACCCCUGUAGUCCCUGUCUCUUAUAC
RNAcentral lists this ribosomal RNA (305 nucleotides) under uncultured bacterium. RNAcentral's name for it is "partial 16S ribosomal RNA". It matches the Rfam family "Bacterial small subunit ribosomal RNA", at positions 508 to 807 of the family's 1533-position model. The record is from RNAcentral.